RNAcentral lists this long non-coding RNA (752 nucleotides) under Brassica napus (rape). RNAcentral's name for it is "long non-coding RNA (BNAP_LNC013925)". Lineage: Eukaryota; Viridiplantae; Streptophyta; Magnoliopsida; Brassicales; Brassicaceae. The record is from RNAcentral.
UCUUAUUAUACUCUAGCUUCUCUAGGCCUAUAAAUACUCUUAUGUCUCGACACAAGUUGCAAUACUCAUCAACUAACAAGUUCUUUAAACCAGCUCUCACAUUGAUUCACACACACACACACAAGGUGAAUUCUCACAAAUGGGCACAUGAUCUCAAUCAUUUGGGUAGGUAAGCAAUCGUCUAAUAUGAAUGAAGAGAAGGAUUCAAAUGUUGUCAUUUCAAGGUGGUUAUCACUCAAGAACAAGGAGCUUGAACAUUGUGCAAAAUUUAUCUAAGACUAGAAGCAACUCAUGCAUACAUAGAUUCAUUCUCAUCAUUCUACCCCUUUUUAUAAGUGAUUACAAGUUCUACCCUUUUAUCAUCAUCUCAAAACCAAAAUAACACCCACUCACAUCACUCACCCAAUGAACAACUCUCUUUUUCUUUUGACUCAACCAACUAGGGACUUCAAUUCACUUUUUACAACACUUAGCUGUAACUCUUUCUCAUUUACCUCCCCACCUUCUCUUUGAUUCUUUUCUCUUUUUUCUUUUAAUAAGGGGAAAGGUUUUUUUGUAUAUAAUCUAGAGCUUCAUACUUUCCUUUUGUCCCUGGAGUUUUUUUUUCUAAUAACACUCUUUUGUUCAUCUUUCUCAUCUUUCUCACUCCCCAAAUCCAAAAUAUUAACAUUUAGAAUACACAAACCCCUCUCACCAUCCCCAAAUGCUAGCUCAUUAUGCUAGCAAGAGAUGAGAACAAAUCUAUGCCGCCU